UAAGGAAUAUUGGACAAUGGGGGCAACCCUGAUCCAGCCAUCCCGCGUGCAGGAUGACGGCCCUACGGGUUGUAAACUGCUUUUGCGAGGGAAGAAACGAAGCUAUUUAUAGUUUUUUGACGGUACCUCGAGAAUAAGCACCGGCUAACUCCGUGCCAGCAGCCGCGGUAAUACGGAGGGUGCAAGCGUUAUCCGGAAUCACUGGGUUUAAAGGGUGCGUAGGCGGCAUUAUAAGUCAGAGGUGAAAGGCCGUCGCUUAACGAUGGAAUUGCCUUUGAUACUGUAGUGCUUGAAUUGGGUUGAGGCUGGCGGAAUGUGGCAUGUAGCGGUGAAAUGCAUAGAUAUGCCAUAGAACACCAAUUGCGAAGGCAGCUGGCUGGGCCUUGAUUGACGCUGAGGCACGAAAGCGUGGGGAGCGAACA
Molecule: ribosomal RNA, 422 nt
Filed under: uncultured bacterium
Lineage: Bacteria
Description: bacterial SSU rRNA
Rfam family: Bacterial small subunit ribosomal RNA
Source: RNAcentral